CUCCCGCAAGCACUUCCGUACGACGGCGGCCUCCAUGACGCAACGCUCCUCCUCGAGGCGGGUGGCGGUGCAGGCAGCGGACUCGUGCGCCAGGCGGGCCGCGACGAGGUGCGCUAGGCGGGCGACGGCGAGGCCGCAGCAGGAGCGGGGCCCGGCAGGGAGAAGGUCAGGUCGAGGCGGCGGUGUUCGCUGCCACGGCGUGAUCGGCGUCCAGCGGCUCUGAGGCCCAGGCGCGCGACGGCUGCUCUUGUCGGACUCCUCGGUCACGUACGCGAGCCGCAUCCGGACAUCCUGCUCCGCGGCCUUGGCCAGCUCUAGCUCCAGCUCCGCCACUGCUUCCUCGUACCUCUACUGCACCUCGGCCUCCUUCGGUCCUUCCUGCCCGCCUCGGAACUGAGGGUCUCGUUUUCCUCCGCCAUGCUCUACAGCGCGUUCUCCUUGUCAAUCUGCAAGCCGGAGCUCCAUCUCCUGCUUCUAUCCAGGUCCGGGACGCAGGAUGGAAGGAGAGGUGGGCGACGACGAGGCCACAGCUGAAGCAGGGUGUCGUCGGGCCUGGAGGGGAGAAGGACGAGUCGAGGCGGCGGUAGGGCUCCUGGCCAGCAGUGUUCGUUGCGGGGGCGAGGAUGUGAGGCAGGCGAAGCAGAAGGCGGAGGGGUGUUAGAGGAGGACCGUGGGUGAAAAUAACGGAGGACAUAGGGAGGCUUUUGCAAAUUAUAGGUAUCUGACAUGUGGGCCCGGGCCACGUGGCAAAGGUCAAACCGUCACGUAGAACGAUCAAGACCGAUUAGAGAGACGCAUACACAAAUAUGACCUGCAGUGAACUAAUUAUCAAAGAUAUAGGACCUACACGUGCACUUUCAAACAAUUAGGGCUAACCUGACACCUUUGUGAAAAUAUUAGGACCGUGGGUGCAUUUUACUCCUCCAUCAUAUCCAUCGCAUCACUCACGAAUCGAGGUGGGGAACCAGAGGUGUUAUGGCUCCUUUUAUUUUUCAUGGAGAUUAACGAUGGAGCAAUGUUUCAGUAACCCUCCUUCCAAGUGGCAUGGUCCUGUCCAGAGUGUGUCUAAUGGUCCUAGGUUCGCAUCACUUUUCACGUGGUUAUCAAAACCUACCACCUGCGACUUUCAAUCUAAUGACAAUUCUGUUUUCGUCAGGUUUUUGUUAUUAAUGCUUGCUUUUCUUCAAUCCAUUGUACCAUUUUUCGUUAUCAAUAAUAU
This is a long non-coding RNA of Brachypodium distachyon (stiff brome), 1219 nucleotides long. RefSeq lists it as uncharacterized. The transcript has 2 exons. The record is from RefSeq and is a predicted model, not a curated record. NCBI's taxonomy places the organism in Eukaryota, Viridiplantae, Streptophyta, Magnoliopsida, Poales, Poaceae.